CGGCAUGCAAGUCGAACGGGCUCGGUUUUCGGAUCGGGUCAGUGGCGGAAGGGUGAGUAAGGCGACGGUAACCAACCCCAUGGUCGGGUAUAGCCGCGGGAAACUGCGGGUAAUCCCCAGCGACGUCAAUGGCCGGCAUCGGCCGUUGACCAAAGCUCAGGCGCCGUGGGACGGGCCGUCGUGGUAUUAGAUAGUUGGCGGGGUAACGGCCCACCAAGCCGAUGAUGCCUACCGGGCGUGCGAGCGUGGCCCGGCACACUGGGACUGAGACACUGCCCAGACCCCUACGGGAGGCUGCAGUCGAGAAUCUUCGGCAAUGGGCGCAAGCCUGACCGAGCGACGCCGCGUGGAGGAUGAAGGCCUUCGGGUUGUAAACUCCUGUCGAGGGGGAGGAAGGGGCAACCUUGACCGAUCCCUGGAGGAAGCACGGGCUAAGUUCGUGCCACCACCCGCGGUAAGACGAACCGUGCGAACGUUAUUCGGAAUCACUGGGCUUAAAGCGCGUGUAGGCGGAUGGGAACGUCGGUAGUUGAAAGCCCCCGGCUCAACCGGGGAAGUGGUGCCGAAACGACCCGUCUGGAGGGACGUAGGGGGAGCUGGAACUUCCGGUGGGAGCGGUGACAUGCGUUGAGAUCGGAAGGAACGCCCGUGGCGAAAGCGAGCUCCUGGACGUCUGCUGACGCUGAGACGCGAAAGCUAGGGUAGCGAACGGGAUUAGAUACCCCGGGUAGUCCUAGCCGUAAACGAUGGGCACUGGGUAGGGGGCUCGCCGAUGGGCCUCCCUGCCGUACCGAAAGCGUGAAUGCCCCGCUGGGGAGUAUGGUCGCAAGGCUGAAACUCAAAGAAUUGACGGGGGCUUCACACAGCGCUGAGCAUGUGCUUAAUUCGAGCUACGCGAAAAACCUACCUGGGCUUGACAUGCA
RNAcentral lists this ribosomal RNA (923 nucleotides) under uncultured Planctomycetota bacterium. Its description in RNAcentral is "bacterial SSU rRNA". It matches the Rfam family "Bacterial small subunit ribosomal RNA", at positions 51 to 990 of the family's 1533-position model. Lineage: Bacteria; Pseudomonadati; Planctomycetota. The record is from RNAcentral.